GAUGUUAGGUCUGAAAAAGAAAUAAAUUGUAAAUUUAUUUAUAAAAAUAAUAAAAUUUUUUAACAUUA
Molecule: transfer RNA, 68 nt
Filed under: Acropyga guianensis
Lineage: Eukaryota; Metazoa; Arthropoda; Insecta; Hymenoptera; Formicidae
Description: tRNA-Tyr
Source: RNAcentral